Molecule: ribosomal RNA, 389 nt
Filed under: uncultured bacterium
Lineage: Bacteria
Description: bacterial SSU rRNA
Rfam family: Bacterial small subunit ribosomal RNA
Source: RNAcentral
GACGAACGCUGGCGGCGUGCUUAACACAUGCAAGUCGAGCGGAAAGGCCCUUUCGGGGGUACUCGAGCGGCGAACGGGUGAGUAACACGUGAGUAAUCUGCCCUUGGCUUUGGGAUAACCACCGGAAACGGUGGCUAAUACCGGAUAUGACGGGCUCCGGCAUCGGGGUUCGUGGAAAGUUUUUUCGGCCAGGGAUGUGCUCGCGGCCUAUCAGCUUGUUGGUGGGGUAAUGGCCUACCAAGGCUUCGACGGGUAGCCGGCCUGAGAGGGUGACCGGCCACACUGGGACUGAGACACGGCCCAGACUCCUACGGGAGGCAGCAGUGGGGAAUAUUGGACAAUGGGCGGAAGCCUGAUCCAGCAACGCCGCGUGAGGGAGUGACGGCCUC